UCAAACGUGAGAAAUGGAUUAUUAGAAAUCACCCUCGACUUCACUCGACUAUUACUUCUAAAUUUGAAGGUAUCUCAGGCUCAUAUUCAAACCAGUUCGGGCAUGCUGGAAGUUGGAAGAGUUUAAACUUAAUGUAAAGUUAUUUCGUAAAGCCCUCAUAGGAUGUACAUAUUACAAGAAGUACCUGCAGAACUUCUGUAGGUACUUUUUCGGAAUGGAACUUCCAAUUGAUUAUC
This 236-nucleotide long non-coding RNA is filed under the name Phoenix dactylifera (date palm). RNAcentral's name for it is "long non-coding RNA (PDAC_LNC002997)". Lineage: Eukaryota; Viridiplantae; Streptophyta; Magnoliopsida; Arecales; Arecaceae. The record is from RNAcentral.